Molecule: ribosomal RNA, 390 nt
Filed under: Triticum aestivum (bread wheat)
Lineage: Eukaryota; Viridiplantae; Streptophyta; Magnoliopsida; Poales; Poaceae
Description: partial small subunit ribosomal RNA
Source: RNAcentral
AUGCCUCACCCUCCUCCACGUCAAGAGAAACAACAAGAGGAUCAAGUGCUUGAAGAUCCUCCUCCUCAACAAGAGCGACAUCAACAUCGUCACUAUGAUGAAGAACUCCGCUACGACAAGCUCAAGUUCACCAUGCCCAAGUUCUCUGGAAGAAAUAACCCCGAGGAGCAUCUCGCAUGGGCCUUGAAAGUGGACAAGAUAUUACGUCUACACAACUACGACGAGGAAAAGAAGAUCGCCGUGACACCCCUCGAGUUUCAAGACUAUGUCCUCAUUUGGUGGGAGCACGUGAUCGAGCGACGCCGUGAAAAGGACGAGCCACCCAUCAUGACUUGGACACAAAUGAAGGACGUCAUGCGAGCCCGCUUUGUGCCUACAUACUACACAUGA